RNAcentral lists this ribosomal RNA (114 nucleotides) under Lepisosteus oculatus (spotted gar). Lineage: Eukaryota; Metazoa; Chordata; Actinopteri; Semionotiformes; Lepisosteidae. The record is from RNAcentral.
GCCAGCAGCCAAAUCACUCUGCAACUCACAACUGGCAGCCCACUGAAGCUCGGCAGUGUGAGCCUGGCCAGUACCUGGAUGGGAGACCUCCUGGGAAAGCUAAGGCUGCUGGAA